UCGUCACAAAAGAUUUUUUUUUAAGGCCACUUCGUUAAAAUAGGUGUUUCCAGUACUUCCUCAUUUGGGUAUUUUACACAAAAUCUGGAAUUUUUUUUUAUGUACAUGUCAUUAUAAUCAUCUGUCCCGCGCAACCAAACCAUCCACUUUUCCCGGUCACCAAUGUUCUUAACAAGAUAUCAAGAGAGAGAGGCUGGUCCAUUAUUUGCGUAGUCCAGCCAGCUUUUUUUUUUUUUUUUGACAACCUUUUUUCGUUCUCUCUCAUGAAGGAUAUGUUUUGAAAAUUAGUCUUACAAAAUACAAUUCCAAACCAACUCAUGCAGUUAACGUCUUUUCACAGUAUUGAGGAGUCAUCCUUUUUGCUAGCCAGAGUGUUAAUUGGCAAAAGUGAAAAAUUCAUUUGUUUAAUUUUUUAAAUUAUUAACAAGUAGAACCAUGGCAACCAGUUCUGAUGAUGUACCAGAAUGGCUCAAGGAUCAUACUUAUACUAUUUCUACUCUCUGGGCAGACAUUAAUAAUAUUGGCAUCCAUUCAAUAUUUAAUUUAUGUUUGGAAAUGCAAGAAAAAGGCAUGCAUUCCUGAAAAGUCAAUGAUUGGUUGCACCUCUUAAAGAUAACUUUCUGUUAUGAGAAAAGAUGAGAUUCUUGGACUCCUGCAUAGCACCACCAGAAAGGAAAAUCCCAUCAUGUUGCAAAAUAAAAGUCUUGGACCAAUUUUAAUUUAAGAUAUAUAUAUAUAUUAUACUGUAAGCUGUAUACAUAUUUAUGUAUAUCCUGUCAUUCAGCCAACAGGUUUGGAUUUAGUAUUUCUUUAAAUCUGUUUGAUAUUGUACUUGAAAACUAUUAAUCUGAGCCCCAUUAAAACAAGAGGGAGUGCAGUGGAUGAGUGGUAAGGGAAAUUGUACUUUUUUAAAAUUAAAAAUAAGAAUCUAACAAAAGUAAACAUAUAAAAUAUGGUGCAUUCUCCUUAAAACUAAAACCUGGUGCAAAGGUUUAAAAUGUUGGCAAAAAAAAAGCAACAUCAAUUAAAUAUUCUUAAUUCCCUUUGCAAAACUUAUUGAGAAGAACAUGCAUGUUGUUCCCUCAUAAGUUUCUUGACAGAGGAAAUCUUGUUUAUAUUAGAUUCGAAUUAAGCAAAUUAAGAAAAAAAUUAUAAUCAUUAUUUCAAAUGGUUGUAUCUAAACCUUAUGAAUUAUUUUUCAGUUAUAAGUAUAUUGAAAUGAAUGGAUAAUCAUGAAAUUGUUAAAUAAUUGCUGCUAUCAUUCCAUUGACUAAAGAACCAUAAUUUUUUUUUUUUAUUAAUUUCAAAAUGAUUUUUUUCAAGCAUAGAGUUCACAUAGAUCUUGAGUGAAAUUUUUCUUUUUUUGACUAAUGCUUCAAUUUUAUUGUAUCAUUAGUUUUUUAUUUUUAUUACCCAGAAUAUUUAAAAAAUGAGUACACUAUUUUCAUGUAAUAAUGUAACUUGGUAUUCACAUAUCAAAAUACACUAUAAUCUUUAGGCCAUAUAGAUUUGUAUAAAUAUAAAUUAACUUGCUUAAAUACAUUGUAAAUGUAUAUUGUUUGGAUAAGAAUAAAGUUUUUCUGUAGACAA
Biomphalaria glabrata is the source of this 1590-nucleotide long non-coding RNA. RefSeq lists it as uncharacterized. The transcript has 4 exons. Lineage: Eukaryota; Metazoa; Mollusca; Gastropoda; Planorbidae. The record is from RefSeq and is a predicted model, not a curated record.